UUCCGGUUGAUCCUGCCGGAAGUUACUGCUAUCGGGGUCCGACUAAGCCAUGCGAGUCGAGAGGGGUAAAGCCUCGGCGGACGGCUAAGUAACACGCGGAUAACCUGCCCUUGGGUCCGGGAUAACCCCGGGAAACUGGGACUAAUACCGGAUAGAUCAAAGAUACUGGAAUGUUCUCUGGUCCAAAGCUCCGGCGCCCACGGAUGGGUCUGCGGCCUAUUAGGUAGUAGUGGGUGUAACGUACCUACUAGCCUACGACGGGUAAGGGUUGUGAGAGCAAGAGCCCUGAGAUGGAUUCUGAGACAUGAAUCCAGGCCCUACGGGGUGCAGCAGGCGCGAAAACUUUACAAUGCGGCAACCGCGAUAAGGAGACCCCGAGUGCCAGCACAUGGUGUUGGCUG
This 401-nucleotide ribosomal RNA is filed under the name uncultured archaeon. RNAcentral's name for it is "bacterial SSU rRNA". It matches the Rfam family "Archaeal small subunit ribosomal RNA", at positions 1 to 409 of the family's 1478-position model. The record is from RNAcentral.